This 894-nucleotide ribosomal RNA is filed under the name uncultured archaeon. RNAcentral's name for it is "bacterial SSU rRNA". It matches the Rfam family "Archaeal small subunit ribosomal RNA", at positions 21 to 904 of the family's 1478-position model. The record is from RNAcentral.
CCCGACUGCUAUUUGGGUGAGAAUAAGCCAUGCGAGUUGAAUGGGAUACCUAAAGUUCCCAUAGCAAACUGCUCAGUAACACAUGAUCAACUUACCCUAUAGAGAAAAAUAACCUCGGGAAACUGAGGAUAAUGUUUCAUAAUUGAAUUGGCUUGGAAAAGUUUUUCAAUGAAAAGGAUAAAAAAAAUGGUUUUUAUCUGCUAUAGGAUAGGAUCGUGUUCGAUUAUGGUUGUUGGUGAGAUAAUGGCUCACCAAGCCGAUAAUCGAUAGGGGCCGUGAGAGCGGGAGCCCCGAGAUGGGUACUGAGACAACGACCCAGGCCUUACGAGGCGCAGCAGGCGCGGAACCUCCGCAAUACACGAAAGUGUGACGGGGUUACCCAAAGUGUUCAAUUUGAACUGUGGUAGGUGAGUAAUGUCCCCUACUAGAAAGGAGAGGGCAAGGCUGGUGCCAGCCGCCGCGGUAAACCAGCUCUUCAAGUGGUCGGGAUAAUAUUGGGCUUAAAGUGUCCGUAGCCGGUUUAGUAGGUUCCUGGUAAAAUCGGGUAGCUUAACUAUCUGCAUGCUAGGAAUACUGCUAUACUAGAGGGCGGGAGAGGUCUGAGGUACUGCAGGGGUAGGGGUGAAAUCUUAUAAUCCUUGUAGGACCACCAGUGGCGAAGGCGUCAGACUGGAACGCGCCUGACGGUGAGGGACGAAAGCCAGGGGAGCGAACCGGAUUAGAUACCCGGGUAGUCCUGGCCGUAAACGAUGCAUACUAGGUGAUGGUACGGCCAUGAGCCGUAUCAGUGCCGUAGGGAAACCGUUAAGUGUGCCGCCUGGGAAGUACGGUCGCAAGGCUAAAACUUAAAGGAAUUGGCGGGGGAGCACCACAAGGGGUGAAGCCUGCGGUUCA